GAUGAACGCUGGCGGCGUGCCUAAUACAUGCCAGUCGAGCGAACGGACGAGAAGCUUGCUUCUCUGAUGUUAGCGGCGGACGGGUGAGUAACACGUGGAUAACCUACCUAUAAGACUGGGAUAACUUCGGGAAACCGGAGCUAAUACCGGAUAAUAUUUUGAACCGCAUGGUUCAAAAGUGAAAGACGGUCUUGCUGUAACUUAUAGAUGGAUCCCCGCUGCAUUAGCUAGUUGGUAAGGUAACGGCUUACCAAGGCAACGAUGCAUAGCCGACCGAGGAGGGGGUUCGGCCACACUGGAACGGGAAAACGGUCCAGACUCCUACGGGAGGCAGCAGUAGGGAAUCUUCGGCAAUGGGCGAAAGCCUGACGGAGCAACGCCGCGUGAGUGAUGAAGGUCUUCGGAUCGUAAAACUCUGUUAUUAGGGAAGAACAUAUGUGUAAGUAAAUGUGCACAUCUUGACGGUACCUAAUCAGAAAGCCACGGCUAACUACGUG
RNAcentral lists this ribosomal RNA (497 nucleotides) under uncultured bacterium. Its description in RNAcentral is "partial 16S ribosomal RNA". It matches the Rfam family "Bacterial small subunit ribosomal RNA", at positions 28 to 507 of the family's 1533-position model. The record is from RNAcentral.